CUGGACUCGGCGAAAAGCAUGCCGGAAAAGAACGCUCCAACUUGACAGAGGCGAGCCGAGGGUUCAUGUUAGUUACAGCUACAGCAGAAGUUGCAAAGUGGCCAGUCGCCUUAAACUCUUCGAAGGACGGUGGGGUGUGUAACGACGGUUGCUUAACGAUGACACCUGCUACCGUGCAAGAGAAAGUCGCUCAACGACAGGCACAAAAAAUGCUACGGGCAGGUAUGCAACUGCUGAACUGCCUGAAGACUGACAUCUCGCCCAGAAAACAGUGCUGGGAGGAUCCAGAUGAUGAUGGUAAUGCAGCCUCAAAGAGAUGCGAUCAAUCGGUAGAACGCAGUAAGCGCGCCUUGUCGAAAUCAGACGAAAGGGGUUCGGAAGCAUCGAAGAGAAGACACACCGCAAUAUUGCCGAUCAAGCGUUGCUGGUACGAUCCAGAAGAAGAGCGGAGCGUGUCAAAGAGAAGUAAGAGGUACCUGGUCACCGCGUCUCCAUUUCCAGUCAGACUGGAGGAGCUGGUUUGCGACGUUCAUCAGACCGUGCACAGGGAGCCGUGGGAGACCUUCUUCCACUUGUCAUCCCGACCAGAUGGGUCGUCAGAACAGCCGUGUCCCGUCUGCCGAAGGGAGUGCAUGUCUACGGAGCUGCUAGAUCAUGCGCGUCGGUCGCACAGCGUUGUGGCACCGCCCGGCGUGACUGACGGGAUGUCAUGGAGCCGUUCGUCGUCUAGUGAAGACUCACACCGCCGGUCCGCAACCGACGCCGAGGGCCGCCGGAGGUCACCCGGGAGGAGGUUAAGACACAGCACGUCAACCUUAAGAUAUCGUCGGCGCUGGUCGUCUGAAGAAAGAUCGCGUCGUCGCUCUACAUCAGGGGACCGUCAUCGCAGCACAGCGAGCAGGAUCAGCCGUCG
This is a long non-coding RNA of Pollicipes pollicipes, 913 nucleotides long. RefSeq lists it as uncharacterized. The transcript has 3 exons. Lineage: Eukaryota; Metazoa; Arthropoda; Thecostraca; Pollicipedomorpha; Pollicipedidae. The record is from RefSeq and is a predicted model, not a curated record.